Molecule: microRNA precursor, 82 nt
Filed under: Chlorocebus sabaeus (green monkey)
Lineage: Eukaryota; Metazoa; Chordata; Mammalia; Primates; Cercopithecidae
Description: miRNA (ENSCSAG00000026830.1)
Source: RNAcentral
AGAUGGACACCGCGGAGGAAGGUAAGUCGGCGACGCGCGGCGCCCGAGCCCUUGCGUCGGCUCCCGGGUUCGUGCCCCGGCC